GGUUCUAUGGUUUAGUGGUAGAAUAUCACGUUGUGGCCGUGAAGAGCCGUGUUCGAUUCACGGUAGAGCCA
RNAcentral lists this transfer RNA (71 nucleotides) under Cladosporium sphaerospermum UM 843. RNAcentral's name for it is "tRNA-His (GTG) (tRNA-His-GTG-2-1)". It matches the Rfam family "tRNA". Rfam says of the family: Transfer RNA (tRNA) molecules are approximately 80 nucleotides in length. Their secondary structure includes four short double-helical elements and three loops (D, anti-codon, and T loops). The record is from RNAcentral. Lineage: Eukaryota; Fungi; Ascomycota; Dothideomycetes; Cladosporiales; Cladosporiaceae.